UCCAAGGCCAAAAACAGUGUGGCCUUGGAGCGCACCGAGCGAGAGAAGCAGGAGGCGCGGGUGGUGGAGGUGCGGCAAGAGCUCCAGGCUCUCGUGGAGAAACACGAGAGUUUGGAGCAUGACUCGAAGACUCGAGAGUACGAGCUCGCCUUGGCUCUUGAGAGUGCCAAAACCGCUAAGGCCGAAGCCCAGAAGGCCCUCCAGGAGAUCGAGGCGAUAAAGAAGAUAAGCUCUCCAGGAGCGUUUGCCGAUCUGCCCCAUAGUGUGUCUGAUGAUGCCGCGUUCUACCGAGCCGAGGAGGGGAGCUCGACGGAAAAGGUGUUCUGGUCUCAAUAUGCUGAGGCCGGACAUCCGGUGCCCCUGAGCGACCAGCUGAAGCAGCUGGUCGAGCUCCAUAAGGUGGCCGAACAGGCCAUGAAGGGCCUCAUAGUUCGGCUGUGGCCUAGAGAAGCCAUGCUUGGGAGCUACUUCAGUCUGGUGCGGCGGCUGGUGGACGCCUGUCCAUGGAUUGAAGUCAUCAAGCGCUCCGUCUGUAUUGAAGGUUCCCGUCGGGCCCUUGCCCGUGCUGAAGUGCACUGGGGCAAGAUGGACGCCGAGAAGCUUGUGACGGACGCACCACCGCCGGGCAAGGAGCAUUGCAAGCCCGAGAUGUAUUAUGAGGGCGUCCUGAAGGGUGCCCGCCUUAUAGCGGGUGAAUGCUCCAAAGAUGUAAUUUUUGAGUAG
This 723-nucleotide ribosomal RNA is filed under the name Triticum aestivum (bread wheat). RNAcentral's name for it is "partial small subunit ribosomal RNA". Lineage: Eukaryota; Viridiplantae; Streptophyta; Magnoliopsida; Poales; Poaceae. The record is from RNAcentral.